AGUCAACAGACAAAAGCCAACUAUGUAUUGGUUCAAAAGGGUACAUCACCUAUUUAUAUGAUUCCCAAGGAUAUUAAAGAUUUGAUCAAGAACGACAGGGUGCCUGGAGUUCUGAAAAAGCCAUUGUCUAUGUCAACAUAUAAGGAUUAUUUUGCUGCUCUUCUUUAUGCUGAAGACUUCUAUAUUGAGAAAUGGAGUGAAUUCAAAUUGGAGAAUAUCACAUUAAAGUUGCAACAAGCAUCAAUCUUUAAACUGUCAUCCUUCUCAGAGAGUCAUGAGAAGGAUAAUAAAACCUUGGUGACAUUUGAGAUUGACUCAUGUCAUGA
This 326-nucleotide unclassified non-coding RNA is filed under the name Hevea brasiliensis (rubber tree). The record is from RNAcentral. Lineage: Eukaryota; Viridiplantae; Streptophyta; Magnoliopsida; Malpighiales; Euphorbiaceae.